UACUCCUACGGGGGGCAGCAGUAGGGAAUAUUGCUCAAUGGGGGAAACCCUGAAGCAGCAACGCCGCGUGAGCGAAGAAGGCCUUUGGGUCGUAAAGCUCUGUCCUAAGGGAAGAAGGAAGUGACGGUACCUUAGGAGGAAGCCCCGGCUAACUACGUGCCAGCAGCCGCGGUAAUACGUAGGGGGCAAGCGUUAUCCGGAAUUAUUGGGCGUAAAGAGUACGUAGGCGGUUCUUUAAGCGUAGGGUCUAAGGCGAUGGCUUAACCAUCGUUCGCCCUGUGAACUGGAGGACUUGAGUAUCGGGG
This 305-nucleotide ribosomal RNA is filed under the name uncultured bacterium. RNAcentral describes it as "bacterial SSU rRNA". It matches the Rfam family "Bacterial small subunit ribosomal RNA", at positions 334 to 654 of the family's 1533-position model. The record is from RNAcentral.